Molecule: transfer RNA, 77 nt
Filed under: Alphaproteobacteria bacterium
Lineage: Bacteria; Pseudomonadati; Pseudomonadota; Alphaproteobacteria
Description: tRNA-Arg
Rfam family: tRNA
About the family: Transfer RNA (tRNA) molecules are approximately 80 nucleotides in length. Their secondary structure includes four short double-helical elements and three loops (D, anti-codon, and T loops). Further hydrogen bonds mediate the characteristic L-shaped molecular structure. tRNAs have two regions of fundamental functional importance: the anti-codon, which is responsible for specific mRNA codon recognition, and the 3' end, to which the tRNAs corresponding amino acid is attached (by aminoacyl-tRNA synthetases). tRNAs cope with the degeneracy of the genetic code in two manners: having more than one tRNA (with a specific anti-codon) for a particular amino acid; and 'wobble' base-pairing, i.e. permitting non-standard base-pairing at the 3rd anti-codon position.
Source: RNAcentral
GGACUCGUAGCUCAGUUGGAUAGAGCGCUGCCCUCCGAAGGCAGAGGUCGGAGGUUCGAAUCCUCUCGAGUCCGCCA